AUUGAACGCUGGCGGCAGGCCUAACACAUGCAAGUCGAACGGCAGCACAGAAGAGCUUGCUCUUUGGGUGGCGAGUGGCGGACGGGUGAGUAAUGUCUGGGAAACUGCCCGAUGGAGGGGGAUAACUACUGGAAACGGUAGCUAAUACCGCAUAACGUCGCAAGACCAAAGUGGGGGACCUUCGGGCCUCACACCAUCGGAUGUGCCCAGAUGGGAUUAGCUAGGAGGUGGGGCAAUGGCUCACCUAGGCGACGAUCCCUAGCUGGUCUGAGGGGAGGACCAGCCACACUGGAACUGAGACACGGUCCAGACUCCUACGGGAGGCAGCAGUGGGGAAUAUUGCGCAAUGGGAGUAAGCCUGAUGCAGCCAUGCCGCGUGUAUGAAGAAGGCCUUCGGGUUGUAAAGUACUUUCAGCGGGGAGGAAGGCGGUGAGGUUAAUAACCUCGCCGAUUGACGUUACCCGCAGAAGAAGCACCGGCUAACUCCGUGCCAGCAGCCGCGGUAA
This 506-nucleotide ribosomal RNA is filed under the name uncultured bacterium. RNAcentral's name for it is "partial 16S ribosomal RNA". It matches the Rfam family "Bacterial small subunit ribosomal RNA", at positions 29 to 523 of the family's 1533-position model. The record is from RNAcentral.